UACGUAUGUGGCGAGCGUUGUUCGGAAUUACUGGGCAUAAAGAGUUCGUAGGCGGACUUGUCAGUUGGGUGUGAAAUCCCGGGGCUUACCCCCGGAACUGCACUCAAUACUGCAAGUCUGGAGUCCUUCAGGGGUAAGUGGAAUUCCAUGUGUAGCGGUGAAAUGCGUAGAUAUAUGGGAGAACGCCAAUGGCGAAGGCAGCUUACUGGGGAGUGACUGACGCUGAGGAACGAAAGUUAGGGUAUCGAACGGG
This 253-nucleotide ribosomal RNA is filed under the name uncultured bacterium. RNAcentral describes it as "partial 16S ribosomal RNA". It matches the Rfam family "Bacterial small subunit ribosomal RNA", at positions 524 to 776 of the family's 1533-position model. The record is from RNAcentral.